This 305-nucleotide ribosomal RNA is filed under the name uncultured bacterium. Its description in RNAcentral is "bacterial SSU rRNA". It matches the Rfam family "Bacterial small subunit ribosomal RNA", at positions 337 to 639 of the family's 1533-position model. The record is from RNAcentral.
ACCUACGGGAGGCAGCAGUGAGGAAUAUUGGUCAAUGGACGAGAGUCUGAACCAGCCAAGUCGCGUGAAGGAUGACUGCCCUAUGGGUUGUAAACUUCUUUUAUAUGGGAAUAAAAUGUUCCACGUGUGGGAUUUUGUAUGUACCAUAUGGAUAAGGAUCGGCUAACUCCGUGCCAGCAGCCGCGGUAAUACGGAGGAUCCGAGCGUUAUCCGGAUUUAUUGGGUUUAAAGGGAGCGUAGGUGGAUUGUUAAGUCAGUUGUGAAAGUUUGCGGCUCAACCGUAAAAUUGCAGUUGAAACUGGCAG